CCUACGGGUGGCAGCAGUCGAGAAUCAUUCACAAUGGGGGAAACCCUGAUGGUGCGACGCCGCGUGGGGGGAUGAAGGUCUUCGGAUUGUAAACCCCUGUCAUGUGGGAGCAAAUUAAAAAGAUAGUACCACAAGAGGAAGAGACGGCCAACUCUGUGCCAGCAGCCGCGGUAAUACAGAGGUCUCAAGCGUUGUUCGGAAUCACUGGGCGUAAAGCGUGCGUAGGCUGUUUCGUAAGUCGUGUGUGAAAGGGGCGGGCUCAACCCGCGGACGGCAGAUGAUACUGCGAGACUAGAGUAAUGGAGGGGGAACCGGAAUUCUCGGUGUAGCAGUGAAAUGCGUAGAUAUCAAGAGGAACACUCGUGGCGAAGGCGGGUUCCUGGACAUUAACUGACGCUGAGGCACGAAGGCCAGGGGAGCGAAAGGGAUUAGAUACCCUAGUAGUC
This 446-nucleotide ribosomal RNA is filed under the name uncultured bacterium. RNAcentral's name for it is "partial 16S ribosomal RNA". It matches the Rfam family "Bacterial small subunit ribosomal RNA", at positions 338 to 795 of the family's 1533-position model. The record is from RNAcentral.